ACGGAAGGCAGCACUGGGGAAUAUUGCACAAUGGGGGGAACCCUGAUGCAGCGACGCCGCGUGAGGGAAGAAGGUUUUCGGAUUGUAACCCUCUGUCCUUGGUGACGAUAAUGACGGUAGCCAAGGAGGAAGCCACGGCUAACUACGUGCCAGCAGCCGCGGUAAUACGUAGGUGGCAAGCGUUGUCCGGAAUUACUGGGUGUAAAGGGAGCGUAGGCGGGAAAGCAAGUUGGGAGUGAAAUGUAUGGGCUCAACCCAUAAACUGCUUUCAAAACUGUUUUUCUUGAGUGAAGUAGAGGCAGGCGGAAUUCCUAGUGUAGCGGUGAAAUGCGUAAAUAUUAGGAGGAACACCAGUGGCGAAGGCGGCCUGCUGGGCUUUAACUGACGCUGAGGCUCGAAUGCGUGGGUAGCAAACAGGAUUAGAUACCCUGGUA
This 434-nucleotide ribosomal RNA is filed under the name uncultured Anaerotruncus sp. RNAcentral describes it as "bacterial SSU rRNA". It matches the Rfam family "Bacterial small subunit ribosomal RNA", at positions 341 to 792 of the family's 1533-position model. Lineage: Bacteria; Bacillati; Bacillota; Clostridia; Eubacteriales; Oscillospiraceae. The record is from RNAcentral.